UUCUAGGAUGGAUUUCAUUAGGCCCUGGUGACUUGAAGACAUAUAACUCGUCUAAGUAAUUUUUAACUUUGUCCUUUCCCUGUUUUAACCUCUGAUCCUACCUCAUUUUCACCGGCAUUCAUUAAGCUAGACAACCAAUUGCUACUAAAUUUCUUUGGUGAAAACUGAAACAAAAAUGUAAUUUAGCACUUCUGCCAUUUCCACAUUUUGGGUUAUUGUUUUUCUCCCCUCAUUUAGUAACGGGCCAUCUCUGUCUUUGGUCUUCCUUUUGCUUCUAAUGUACUUGCAGAAUGUUUUCUUGUUACCCUUUAUGUCUCUAGCUAGUUUAAUUUCAUUUUGUGCUCUGGCCUUUCUAAUUUUGUCCCUACAUACAUGUGUUAUUUGUUUAUAUUCAUCCUUUGUAAUUUGACCCAGUUUCCACUUUUUGUAAGGCUUUCUUUUUUGUUUUGAGUUUCAGAUCAUUGAAGAUCUCCUGGUGUUCAAGCUUAUUAAUGAUAAGGAAGGUUCAGACAGGAAAUGAGGAGUAAAUUUUUAACAGUGAGAGUAACUAACCACUGGAACAACUGUUCACGGGUUGUGGUGGAUUCUCCAUCUCUGGAUGUCUUAAAAUCAAAAUGGAAUGUUUUUCCAAAAGCUAUGCUUCAGGAAUUAUUUUGGGGAAGGUCUAUGGCCCGUGUUAUACAGGAGGUCAGACCACAUGAUUAUAAUAGUCCCUUCUGGCCUUGGAAUCUAUUAUCUUUUAUAUUCCUCAACUGGAUAAGAAUUGUGAUAACAUUAUUGUGUGCAGGUAGAGGUAAGUUUUUUUGUUUGUUUGUUUUUUAUACUAUUUCAGCACGUUCCUGCACGACAUCUCAGCAAACUAGUGAGUAGCUGAGGGUUCUAUGGAGAAUGGCUUUAAAUAAUUUAUCUUCAUAGGAUAAGCAAUGUACUUUGGCCAUGAAGCCUGGAAUAGUUUAAUCAAACCAGAUAUAAUUGAAAGGCCUUGCUUGUGUGUUUGUUUAUGACCUCUGUUUCAAUACAUGGCUACAACGUAAUUUGUUUAAUAUUAAUGGGCACAUAGUCUUAUCAGAGAGGCCAAAGACUAGGGAUGGAGAUUAGAACUACAUUUUCACCCGUAGAGGUGGUGUAUUCAGGUCAGGCCUGAGGUUUAUUGGUGGGAUUACAUGGGGAAACUUGUUCUGCUAUUGCCUGUGCUCUGGAGAGGGAGAAAAUGCCAGUUUCUAAAGUUACCAGUUAGAGAGUGGUGAACUAGCUUAGGUACAGUAAGUGUAAAAUCUUUGUACAUCUUUGGAACUACACUGAGUCUGAUCUUUACUGCAGUCAGGGUAAGUUUUUAGUUAAUUUUUCCUCUGUCCCUCAUUUGUUGUUAUACUUUUGGCCAUCCCUUUAUACUGAGUGUGUACAGCAUUUCAAAGAAGCCAAAGUCUUGUGUGCUCUGGGAACUUCCUAGGUGCACUGUUCACUCUGGAUGUUCUAGUUAGCAGACAAAAUUCCAUAGUGCAACUAUCACACCCAUCACCUCUAACAUGAUUGGCUUCUGCUGGGAAGAGGGCUGAGCACCUUCCACUGAAAAGUUUUGUGGAUGAAUUGGAGCUAUGAGAAUUGAAUCACACAAAUUAGAAUUAGAAAAGGGUUAUUAAAUUGUCUAGUCCAUCCCCCUUCAGGACAGUCCCAUCUGUAUCUUCCCUCCCCCUCAUGAAAAGUGGUAUGUAUGAAAGGAGAGCUAUCCAUAAAAUGUAGGGCUAGAGGGGACCUCAAGAUGUCCUGUGCAGAGGAAGGACCAAAUAAACCUAGACCAUCCCUGACAAGUGUUUGUCUAACCUUUCUCUUACACCUCCGAUGAUGGCGAUUCCACAUCCUUCCUUGGAAGCCUAUUCCAGUGGCUCAACUGUCCGCAUAGAUUUUAGGAAAGACUUUCUAACUAACCUAAAUGUCCCUUGCUGCAGAUUAAGCCCAUUACUUUUUGUCCCAUCUUCAGCAGACAUGGAGAACAACUGAUUAUCCUCUUUAUAACAGCUCUUCAUGUAUUUGAAGACUAUCAUGUCCCUUCAUCCCCAGUCUUUUAUCAAGACAGAACAUGCCCAGUUUUCUUUUUGUUUUUAAAAUUUUCCUCAGAGGUCAGGUUUUCUAAACCUUUUAUCAUUUUUGUUGCUCUCCUUGGACUCUCUCCAGCUUGUCCACAUCUUUCCUACAGUGUGGCACCCAGAAUUGGACACAGUACUCCAGCUGAGGCCUCACCAGUUCCAAGUAAGGUGGGACAACUACUUCCUGUGUCUUACAUACAACAAUCCUGUUAACACACCCGGGAAUAUUAGUGUUUUUUUGCAAUUUCAUCACAUGUUGACUCAUUCAAUUUGCCAUCCACGAUAACCCCUGGAUCCUUUUCAGCAGUACUGCCACCAGUUUUGUGAUGGUAGUACAGCUGAAAAAGAUCUGGGGGUUACAGUGGAUCACAAAUUUGAAUAUGAGCCAACAAUGUGGAGAUAACCAAUUACACACAAGUGACUCAUGGGGAAGUUUGGCACAGGACCUGCACCUCAUAAAAGAACUCCUGAGGCAGUAAGGAGGCAAGGAGAUACCUGUUGGUUCCCAAACUUCCCAUGAAUGCUGCAGUUGCCAGGGUGAAGAAGGAACCCUGUGUACAGCAAAGGCAGAGUGCCAGUGGGGAGGGCAUUGAGGGAAGUGUUGUCUUAAGUUCAGAUGACUUGGAUUAACAUUCCAUUGCUUGGAUGCUUAUGUAAACCAGAACCCUCAAGAGGUUCAGAGUUUAUCCCUCUCUGCAGUUUAUCUGGACCCAUUUCUGAGCACCAAAUUUCCUUUGUACAACUAACUUUUUUUUUUUAAAGGAUUUAAAAUGAAGGAACACGGUAAAACUGCUCCAGAUGUGAGCCAUGGAAAGGUUGGAUGUUGGAGAUAGAACAGAGAUCCAAAACAUGGCGCCACGGAAGCGGCUUCCCUAUUUUAGAUAUUUUUCCUUUCUGAAAUACCUAUGCUUCCUUGGCUACAACGUGACAAAAUUGGGUUGACCCAUAAAUAUUCAUGUGCAGAGCAAAUAAGUUUGGUUAGUUGCAGUUUUCCCAAGGAUUCCUGCAGAAUGGAAAAGGGAGCCAACUGAGAGGGAGAUUCUUGGGUUUUCCUUUUACCUUUCGGAGGGCCCCCAAACUCUUAGCCUAAGAGGAAAACCUGUAGGCAAGACUGACUGUCUUCAUGGCCUGAUGUAUGUUGUCUGUUUGACUUGUGACACCCAGUAAUACUGUAUGCCAUGAGCAGAGCUGAGUAAAUAAUCCACAACAAAUGCAGCUAGCUGGAAAAUUUCUUCCAUGAUGCCUUCUAAGCAAAAAUGAAACUCAAAUUUUGUUGGAUGCAACUUGACAGCUGGCCCGAGAAGAGGAGAAGCACUUGGAUUAAAUGUACAAGGAUUGGCAAAGAAGCAAGGAGUUUUGAGACACAAAGAGUCAGGAAUAACCCAAAUAAAACCCCUAUCCUUAACACAAAUAGAGAAUCUGGGUUUUACUGUGUGUCUGACAUGAAAUGCCUGAUGACCUGGAAUCCCUGAUUUUAGUCACAACAAAGUGUUGUCUGUAGAAAUUAUUAGCUUGUUCUGUUUUGUUGUAGUCUAUUAGUGAAAUGUAUAACACCCUCUAGGCACAAAUCGCUGUCCUCACUUUGAUCAUAAAACAUUACAACUGAAACUUCAAAGGUGUUAGGCAAGUAUCCAGCAUUGGGUCCACCUUUUCAUUAGGAACAAUCUCUUUACGAACUUUCCCUACCCCUACUUGCCAUGGCCCAGAUUUGUAAAGGUAGUUAGGUGUUGCGGCACUCAGCAUCACAACACCUAACUGAUUGAAGAGCCUAAAUCUCAUUUUAAAAAGGGAUUUAGGAGCCAAAAUCCCACUGACAGUGAGCACAGCAAUGCCUAAAUACCUUUAAAAAAACCUUAUGAGAUAAGCUUUCCCCACCCUGCAUUGCAUCACUAAUUAAAGUUGUUGGCUAAAUACAUCCCAUACUGCUGCUUAGAGUGACCUAAUUUGUGCUUGGCAGACUCAGUCAGGAAAGUCAGUCAGUGAAGAAUAAGAUACUGUGUGUGGCUGUAAACAACUCAAUACAACAAAUAUAGCUAGGGAGUGAGAAAUAUUACAUAUAGGUAUUAUUUUUUAUUCUGAAGGUGCACAAUAUGUAAAAACGAUGCCUACCUGUUGUUAAUCUUACAAUAACUGCUUCCUGAGGAAAAACAAAAAUCAGGUUUAGGUAUAUACAUUCUUUCGGACUUACUGUGUGUGCAGUGGGAUAUCUGUGGGGGUGGAGGGAAACUAAAUAACUUCCUAUCUUUCAGCUACUGUACAGCAUCACUUUACAAUUUACCCUGAGCAAGGGGGAGUAUGUUGUUGUUCUACCACAAAAGCAGUCUCCAAAAUAGAUUGGGACACAAUCUCAUUCUGCUUCCCGGUCCCCAGUUUACUCCAGGGAGCAAGUGAACUGUGUUGGAACUUUGCUUAGUACAGUAUGUGUCAUCCAGGGCUAAUGACUAAGGCUAUGAUUUCAUAGAAUCAUAGAAUAUCAGGGUUGGAAGGGACCUCAGGAGGUCAUCUAGUCCAACCCCCUGCUCAAAGCUGGACCAAUCCCCAAUUUCUGCCCCAGAUCCCUAAAUGGCCCCCUCAAGCAUUGAACUCACAACCCUGGGUUUAGCAGGCCAAUGCUCAAACCACUGAGCUACUCCUCAGAGCUCGCAGAAGUCAAAGAAACUGUGACUUCCAGUGACCUCCGUGACUUCAGCCUGCGAUCGUUGGGAGCUGCAGGGUCCCCUGCCAUCCAGGGAGGCAGGGAGCUGCAGGGUAUCCACACCACCUCUGGUGGCCCCCAGAGCUCCAGACCACUACGGGCAACUAGUCCCUGCGCACCUUCCCUGUUUCAGGUGGGUGUGGGAACCCACAGAUCCUCAUUUUGUCACCGGUAUUUUUAAUAAAAGUCACGGACAGGUCUCAGCUUCCAUUAAUUUUUUUUUUUUGCCCGUGACCUAUCUGUGACUUUUAUUAAAACUAUCCAUGACAAACUCUUAGCCUUACUAAUGACAGUCUAAUUCUGUGGAAAUCAAGGCCCUGAUCUCUGCACCCACACAGAACACCACUGAAGUCUAGCAUGUGCAGAUCCAAUUACAUGAUUGCAACCGAAACUUCAACUAUAUGACUUGCACAUUACACUAUAUGCAUCUUUAUCACCUCCAGAUCGGAUUUAUUGCAAUACACCAUCCACAGGGCUAUAUCUGAAGAUCAUUGGAAACUUCAGUUAGAGCAGAAUGUGGUAGCCAACUUUCCUAGUGCUGUUCACAUGAAGCAUAUUACACCUGUGCUCUGUCUGCUAGCUUCCAGUUUGAUCCUGGCACUGCUCAAGCUAUUUUUAACCUGCAAAGCCUUUUAUCAUAAAACUUAUGUUCUUUGUUAGAUUCAGCUGCCAGGUUAGAACAUAAGGGGUGGGGGGAGGUUCUGCCUAAAUGGAAAGUAAAUAUCAGUUGGCAAACAAACCUUGAAAUUGUCAACCUUCAAGGUAUGCUGCAAAACUCUGCCUAUGUGCUCAGGUUUUUUUGUGGAGGGUCUCAGUUUUUUUUAGGGUUGUAGGUGGGGCUGUCGAUUAAUCACAGUUAACUCAUGUGAUAAACUAAAAAAAAAUUAAUCGUGAUUAAAAAAAUUAAUUGUGAGUCAUCACAGUUUUAAUUGCACUGUUAAACAAUAGAAUACCAACUGAAAAUUGUUAAAUAUUUUGAAUGUUUUUCUACAUUUUCAUAUAUAUUGUAUUAUGUGUUGUAAUUGAAACCAAAUUGUAUAUUAUUUUUUAUUACAAAUAUUUGCACUGUAAAAAUGAUAAAAGAAAUAGUAUUUUUCAGUUUGCCUCCUACAAGUACUGUAGUGCAAUCUCUUUGCAAUUGCAUGAAAGUGCAAUUUACAAAUGUGUAAUUUUUUUUGGUUACAUAACGCAUUCAAAAAACAAAACAAUGCAAAACUUUCACUUUGUUACUUUUGUUAUUUGUUUAAUGACUUGCUGGCUCAUUAUUGGGCUAUAAAGGAAAAUCACAAUUAUAUAUUUAUCAGACCUGAGACCUAGAGUCCAUAUUCUUAGUGGAUACAUGAAAUUCUAGGACCAAAAUAAUAAUACUUUAAACUCUUAGUUCAGCUCUGUCCAGCCUUUCUGCCGGAUACACAACAGAGCAACUCUUGUUUUGAGUUCAUAGUUACACAGCUCAGGUAGAAUUACAGUACUCAGGGUACAGGAGAGAUAGAUAUACUCUUAUUCUCCAGUCAAACAGGAGAGAAUGAGAUAACUUCUCCAUUUCUGGAUAGUUUAACUCAGAUUCUCCAGUAGGCAUAACUAAUCAACUGCAUGUACAUAGCAAUUCUACUUUUCUUUAUAAUUCUGCCAGGUAUAGUAAGAUGUAGAAUGACAACGUUUGCCUUCCCAGCCAAAUUACUUUCUGGUCAUUCUUAAUAUUUCAGUAGAUUUUUCCACCCUGAUUGGGUUCCCAGAGGACUCUCAACUUUCCCCUUAAUAGCUAGGGAAUAAUGCCACACUGUUUUUCUGCCCUUGACUGAAUGCCAAGAUGAUGUCAGAUGAAGGCUAAGUGUUUCUGAAUGCCAAAAGUUCUCAUUUUCUCUGCAUACCUGAUGGCUCACCUUCUAGUCACAGAUAACUGUCAUCUGCCUCUCAACGUGUGGGGACAUGUAGGAGUUCUUCCCCUCCCAAACAGCAGCCUAAUCAGUGUCCCAUUAGCUUUGUCCACUUUUCAGUCUGUCUGGGAGGGAUGGAUGAAGCAUAUAUUGUUACUUCUUUUUUGUUUCAACCUACUACAGAGUCAGAGAUAGGGGGAGGAGGCGUGCUGAAGGGUAUGGGAGAGAGUCCAGCACAACUCAACCUCUAAUGCCCCUUCUGGGCAACACUGUCCAGUUGUGUAUCACAUUCAGAGCCCAGCAGCAGGCAGGGCAAAUGGCUGGAGAAUAGGUAUUUGAGAUCCUCCAUGCUUACCAGCUCAUGGAUAGAAGAAUGAAAACCCUCCAUUAAGUGCUUUGAGAGAUGGCCUGUUUUCAGUUAGUGCCUCACAAGUUGGCUAAAUGAAACCUUCAUAGCACUUCUUCAGACAACCACUCUGCCAUCCCUCUCAGAGGUACCAGGCCUGCCUCUGGCAACUGCAGAGCGCUAAGGUUCUGUGUCGAAAUCUGGAAAAGAUGUUCUAAAAUGUCAGAUAGUUGGGGUAAAACUGAGGUAUUCCCAGUGCUGAACAAACUGGAGAAAGCAUGUGCCGGCCUUUUUUCAUCUCCUCCACAGUAUUUUCCAUCACCCUGAAACAAAUUCAUCUGGGUUCAUGUUGGUUCCACUUUAAAUAAAACAAAGCUGUAGGUAUUCCCAUUCCUUUUAUGCAGUUGAAAUGCCAAGGGAAUCAAUGCUGAACUGUCACAAUCUCACUCAUGGCAAAUACCAGGGAAGUCAAUGGGACUAUUAAUGGAGUGCAAGGUAUAACUCGAUGACGGGCAGAAUCUGGCCUUUUAUUACCUGUUAAUCAGUUUAGCAGCUUAGAAGGUAUUUAUUUACUGAUGUUUUGGUCACAAUUGGCAAGAAAAGCAAUAUGAACAAGUGAUAUUAGGCAAACAUGGUACAAGGCAGUUGCAAUCUCUGGAAAGGUUAGGAUUUAAUGGUGCUGGCUUGCACAAUGAGCAAAACUAUUUCCAGAAGCUUUCGCUCCAUUGUUAGAUGUGGUGGGUACUGCAGUGAUAAUUGGGCCUACAAAUUUACCCUCACUGAGCUCAAUGUAUGAAAUGUAUGAAAGUUUAUAAGAUGUUGCAAUAACCUGUAAUAAAUUUUGAUUGGGGAAAAGGUAUAAAAGGGAGACAGACUGGAUUAUUCUAAACAGAAAGGCCAAUUGAUAAAACUCAAGGAUUGUACUAAGAUCAUGCUUGGUAAACAAGAAAAGUGUGGAACCAGAAAUCAGUGAACCAGAACUGAUGUGUCAAAACUGGGCCAAAUUAGUGGACAAAAUGAGGGAAUGGGCUGUUCUGCCCACGAUUUCUUUUGUGGGCCCUUUAAGAGACUUUGGGGAGAAAAACUUUCUAUUACAGCAAGAUUCAUCUUCAUUACUGCCACCCCUACAGUCUCCUGGGACCCCAGACCUUCAUCAUCCUUCAUCAUCCCAGACAGGGCCAGAGAGAGUGAGCCAGAUGACAUUGUCACCUCUACUGGUGCUCCAGCUGACUCCAAAAAUGCCACCUGGGAUAAAACAGGACUGGAUUUUAACUGAAUUUUACGUUCUAGACCAUCUCAACUAUCUUCUUCUUCUCCCCGCAAAAGGACAGUUGUUAUAAUCUUUGGUACUAUCUAAGAGACUGUCCAACAAGGGGAUUAUUCCUUCUAAAAACUCUCUCCAGCUAAAGGGAACAAGGGAUGGUUUAAAUAAGGCUUUCAUUUUAACUCCUCAUUGCAAAUGCUUUAAUUGUGAGUUGCUGUAAUGAAAGGAUUUUUAAUGGUGUGUUUGCCAUUGUACUUAGCAGGCUGAGGUCUCUAUAUAGCAAACCCUGAACCUUGUUUCCGACUGUUUAGUGUUGGACGGUGACUGGGUUAUGUUAACAUCUUUGGCCCACAUAUUCCAUCUAAAUUCAUACUACUGUACAUACCUGUCUCCCUUCUAGGAAACUGUAUACAGUUAGCCAAUGUAACUGAUUAGCUAACAGCAACCUACUCUACUUCCUACCCUUGGAAGCCCAGAAAUUCUACGUUUUUAUCUUACACCAAUAGUAAGAAGCAGGUUGGACUCUCAGGGCCAGAGCUUUAGCUGGUGUAAAUCAGUGUCAAUGAAACUAUGCUGAUUUACACCAAAAAAGGCUCUGGCACACAGCUGCGUUAUUUUAGGGCCAUAUCCUGAAAACAAUUACGUAUAUGUAUAAACAUACUCCCAUGAGUAGCCCCAAGUUAAACACAAGAAUGUUACAGGAUUGUGUACUCAGAGAAUGUAGAAAAUGUAAUCUUCUACAAGACUCGUGGAUUUAUAGCUUUUAAUGCGAGGAGUGACUUUUAUAAUCUGCUAGUCUGACGACCUCCAUACACAGGCCAUAGAAUUUCACCCAGCAAUUUGUUCAGAAAGCUCAAUAAUUAGAGAUCAGGUUCACCCAAAAGUUAUCUUGUAUAACUGUUUCUUUGUACAAUAAAACUGUAUGUAUUAUUACCAUGAGAAAUUACAACAAGAUCACAAAACACAGCCCCUAUUUUGAAUAAAAUAUCCUCCAGCCCAUAAGUAACCCUCAAGGCACUGUAAACCUUUUAAAGGAUGAAAUAAAACUAUUUUAUUA
This is a long non-coding RNA of Chelonia mydas (Green sea turtle), 9323 nucleotides long. RefSeq lists it as uncharacterized. The transcript has 3 exons. The record is from RefSeq and is a predicted model, not a curated record. Lineage: Eukaryota; Metazoa; Chordata; Testudines; Cheloniidae.